Molecule: long non-coding RNA, 212 nt
Organism: Mastomys coucha (southern multimammate mouse)
Lineage: Eukaryota; Metazoa; Chordata; Mammalia; Rodentia; Muridae
Exons: 2
Source: RefSeq, a predicted model, not a curated record
CAACCUGCGUGUGGAUGAGGAUGAGCUUGACCUGUCUCCUGUCUCAACCCCAAUCCCUGCACCUCAGUACUGGAUUACAGGCAUGUGACACCAUGCCCAGUUGAAACAGAGCUGGAUAUUGAACACAGCAGGGCUUUCUGUACGUUAGAUGGAGACUAUUGUUAAGAUCCACAACUGGGCAGAAUAAAUGACGGACUGUGUGCCAACCCCAA